This 539-nucleotide ribosomal RNA is filed under the name Lactobacillus delbrueckii subsp. bulgaricus. Its description in RNAcentral is "bacterial SSU rRNA". It matches the Rfam family "Bacterial small subunit ribosomal RNA", at positions 344 to 876 of the family's 1533-position model. Lineage: Bacteria; Bacillati; Bacillota; Bacilli; Lactobacillales; Lactobacillaceae. The record is from RNAcentral.
GGGAGCACAGUAGGGAAUCUUCCACAAUGGACGCAAGUCUGAUGGAGCAACGCCGCGUGAGUGAAGAAGGUUUUCGGAUCGUAAAGCUCUGUUGUUGGUGAAGAAGGAUAGAGGCAGUAACUGGUCUUUAUUUGACGGUAAUCAACCAGAAAGUCACGGCUAACUACGUGCCAGCAGCCGCGGUAAUACGUAGGUGGCAAGCGUUGUCCGGAUUUAUUGGGCGUAAAGCGAGCGCAGGCGGAAUGAUAAGUCUGAUGUGAAAGCCCACGGCUCAACCGUGGAACUGCAUCGGAAACUGUCAUUCUUGAGUGCAGAAGAGGAGAGUGGAAUUCCAUGUGUAGCGGUGGAAUGCGUAGAUAUAUGGAAGAACACCAGUGGCGAAGGCGGCUCUCUGGUCUGCAACUGACGCUGAGGCUCGAAAGCAUGGGUAGCGAACAGGAUUAGAUACCCUGGUAGUCCAUGCCGUAAACGAUGAGCGCUAGGUGUUGGGGACUUUCCGGUUCUCAGUGCCGCAGCAAACGCAUAAGCGCUCCGCCUGG